UACGGGGGGGGCAAGCGUUGUUCGGAAUUACUGGGCGUAAAGGGCUCGUAGGUGGCCAACUAAGUCAGACGUGAAAUCCCUCGGCUUAACCGGGGAACUGCGUCUGAUACUGGAUGGCUUGAGUUUGGGAGAGGGAUGCGGAAUUCCAGGUGUAGCGGUGAAAUGCGUAGAUAUCUGGAGGAACACCGGUGGCGAAGGCGGCAUCCUGGACCAACACUGACACUGAGGAGCGAAAGCCAGGGGAGGCAAACGGG
Molecule: ribosomal RNA, 254 nt
Filed under: uncultured bacterium
Lineage: Bacteria
Description: partial 16S ribosomal RNA
Rfam family: Bacterial small subunit ribosomal RNA
Source: RNAcentral